This is a non-coding RNA of Acinetobacter lwoffii SH145, 51 nucleotides long. NCBI's taxonomy places the organism in Bacteria, Pseudomonadati, Pseudomonadota, Gammaproteobacteria, Moraxellales, Moraxellaceae. The record is from Rfam.
GGGUGUCUAGCUAAGCUAAGGCAGGUGUUAGUUGUAGUCGGGCCGCUACAA